GGUGGGGUGGGUGGCGGGCAAGGGCGGCGCGCUGGGUGUGGGUAGGUGGCUUGCUGCUCCUGAAGGGGUACCCUCGGAAUUAUGGCUGGCUGGCCCGCUCAGGGAAAAGACAGUUUAGGAUUCUGGAAUUAGGAUGCGGCAGCCUCCUUCUCAUAUCUGGAGCCGCUUGGUCUCUUUUUAAGGCUGUAACCCUUUCUCUUGCUAGAGCCUUCAGAAGUCUGGACAACGGAAGGGUGCUGCGGGGAGGCCUGCUAGCUCCCCUCUCCUUUCCCUCUGAGCUGGUGCCUCCAGUGACAAGUUUUGGCUGUGGAGCCUGGUCUUUCUGCAAAGGAAAUUGGUUGGUUGUUUUCCAUGCUAGAGCAGCCUUUUGGAAGCAAGGCAAGGGGUGCACUGUCCUGGCCCCUGUCUCUGCUGCCCACGCCUGCCCACCUUCAGGUGUUUUCUGCUGCUGACUCUGAUCUUGAGCGGGCACUUCCUGGCCCAGCCAGCUACAAUGUUCUCACUUCCAUGAGAACAAGAAUGUCCGAUUUGGUCUUCAGACAAGGGAAGGAGCGCUGCCUUCUAACAAGCAUUGUGCUGGGCUCAUUGCAUCCAUGGUCACAUUCCAUGCCCACUCCCAUCGUAACACUCAUCCUAUCCCACUCCUUGUUACUUCAUGGUUGGUUGGUAAGUAGCCAAGCUGACCAAUUGCGGCAUUUUGGAACCAAAGCCCUCAGUGCUGAGCUACUUCACUUUGCGCUCCUCGGCUAGUGGCAGAGAAAAGAGAGAACUCUCAGAAUGGGGAUACAUGACUAAACUGGAAAGGUUGAACCCCGAUGUUUGAUCCUCAGGGAUACCCCUUCUUCCCCAUUAAUCUGAUGUCACCAAGAGGCUCUUUUUAAAUACCUCUUGCUAAUGAUUUAUUUGCUUGUAUUAAUUAUUAUUUUAAAUUAAAUUUAAAAUUGUUUACAUGUAUAGAUAUAUACAUGGGUACAUAUAUACAUACACACAGGUGUGUGUAUGUGCAUAGCUGAGUGCACAUAUUUGGAGGCCAGAGGAUAGAUUUCCAGAGCUAGUUCCUCCUCCUACCACAAGGUUCAUGCGGAUUGAACUCAGGUAGUCAGGCUUGUUGACAAGCCAUCUGGCUGGUCCUUAUAUUUUUAAAAGGCUAGUUUGAUUUGAACCUCCUGGUCUCUGAAUUCUGGUUGGGAAGUCUUGUGGGCUAGCCCUACCUCUCAGCCAUCUGCCUGCUCAUUCUCCUAUUUCUUCAUAGAAGUCAGCCCUGGCACUGUCACUGCAGGUUUCAAUACUGUAAUGGCACUGUUGGAAGCCAUCCCUGGGCCUGCAGAUACAAUUUCAGUCCCUUCAGUGCUUGAGGUGACAGGACAUUCUACAGGAGUGGGGGCCAUUCCUCUGGUAAGCCACUGAACUCCUGGGGUGCUUUUGGUAAAACUCCCCAGGGCUUGGGGACUGAGGAACCACCCCUCUUCAUAGACACCCAGCUUUACUGUCCAUAGUGGGAAAUUUCUCAGGAUCCAGAUGCCCUGGUCUCAGUUACUCAUCCCAUUGCCAUUCUUUCUCAUUCAUUCAGCCUCCUUCCUGUCUCAUUGUGCACGUGCUCUAUUCUGUCCCUGGACUGUAGUCUGUUUCUUUCGGCUUAGUGGUUUUGGAGUCAGACUCCGGAAUCUUUCCUAUCAGUUCAGUGGCUUUCGUUUGGGAUUUUCUCCUCCCAGAGCUUAGGCCUGGAACUGCUUGGUUCCUUUAUUCUGGGGCAGGAUUUGGGCUACAGAGAGGGCUGUUGGCUGCAGGGGUCAGAGCUGAGGCUGCCUGAGGCCCUGUAUACUACUCUGCAGGUCCAUCCGAGGCCUGUCUGUGCUACUUUGUGAAGGUUUCCAGGACCUGGCCUACUUUCUGGGUCCCCAGGCACUCUGCCUUCAGGAAGGGGAGGGGAGCAUGGCCUGUUGAGAGCUUGAAACUCAGUGUCUGCUUGAACAACAUCUCUAGUUGGAUGGAAUCAGUCUUGAAGAAGACAAUUCAGGAUCUGGGGCGGGAUCAUGGAGGGGAAGGGGAGGAGACUGAAAAACUCCUAUUUAUUGAUGGACAAGUCAGAAACCCAAAUCUGGAAGGACUUGAGUCAAGGUUUCCGGAGAACUGAGCCUUUGCUCAGGGAGAAGCAAGACCUGAACCUGGUCCUCGUAGGGAAGGUUGUCUGGCUGAGGACAGUAUCAUCUGGGAGUGGAGACACUCAAAACCCUGCAGAUUUCAUCAGCUGUCAAGGCAGCACUUAAUAUCCAGCUCUGAAUUUGGGCCAGUCAAGGCCACACACCUGCCUUUUCUAUACUUUCAUCUUCAGAGUAUAUCUUCCCACUUUUUUGUUUAAGUGAUGAUGGUGUUUUUAAUGUCCUUAUGUGGCAAAAUAAAAAUGAGGGAGAAGACAGUACUUUUCUGUUGAUUUUUAAACAUCCAAU
This 2447-nucleotide long non-coding RNA is filed under the name Cricetulus griseus (Chinese hamster). RNAcentral describes it as "lncRNA (ENSCGRG00015034371.1)". The record is from RNAcentral. Lineage: Eukaryota; Metazoa; Chordata; Mammalia; Rodentia; Cricetidae.